GAACGAUCGAUGCUUUCUUCCGCGCCCCGAGAGCCGCCAUUUUUGAGAGCGGGGGAGGAGAGACAAGCAGGGGCGGCAGAGGCUCAACGGGAUGCUGACUGGGUUUUGCUUUUCGUCCCAGCCUUGUGGGGCCGGGACGGAAGAACCCAUCAAAGCCCUUCCUCCCGCCGCCUCUCCGGAAUGAGGUCUCAGCGCCCGCGCGGGACAGCACCCUUCCUCCUGCGACAGAGCCCAAGAAGAGGCCGAAACCGAGACCAUGCCUGGGAAGCUGAAGGUGAAAAUCGUGGCCGGGCGCCAUUUGCCAGUGAUGGACCGUGCUAGUGACCUGACUGAUGCCUUCGUGGAGGUAAAAUUUGGUAAUACCACCUUUAAAACAGAUGUGUACCUUAAGUCACUCAACCCUCAGUGGAACUCGGAGUGGUUUAAAUUUGAGGUGGAUGAUGAAGACUUACAAGAUGAACCUUUACAGAUCACAGUUCUUGACCAUGAUACUUACAGUGCAAAUGAUGCCAUUGGUAAAGUGUACAUUGAUAUUGAUCCUUUACUGUAUAGUGAAGCUGCAACAGUCAUCUCAGGAUGGUUUCCAAUUUAUGACACCAUACAUGGUAUCCGUGGGGAAAUCAAUGUAGUUGUCAAAGUAGACCUCUUCAAUGAUUUAAAUCGAUUUAGGCAGUCAUCAUGUGGAGUCAAAUUCUUUUGCACAACGUCUAUUCCAAAGUGCUAUAGAGCUGUGAUAAUUCAUGGAUUUGUAGAAGAACUUGUGGUCAAUGAAGACCCAGAAUAUCAGUGGAUUGAUCGAAUUCGCACACCAAGGGCGUCAAAUGAGGCCAGACAGAGACUCAUUUCAUUAAUGUCAGGUGAGCUGCAGAGGAAGAUUGGCUUGAAAGUACUUGAAAUGAGAGGAAAUGCAGUUGUGGGGUACUUACAGUGUUUCGAUCUGGAGGGCGAGUCUGGGUUAGUGGUGCGAGCCAUAGGAACGGCGUGUACUCUGGAUAAAUUAAGUAGCCCAGCAGCAUUCCUUCCUGCAUGUAAUUCCCCAUCCAAAGAAAUGAAGGAGUCUCCGCUGGUUCAUCCUCCAAGCCAUGGAUGCCGCUCGACUCACAACAGCCCAAUUCACACUGCUACUGGCUCACGACUUACUCAGAACUUCUCUGUGUCUGUUCCCACUCUCAUCUAUACUGGAAUGGGAAGUGGUAGUGCUGGAAAAGAAGGGGGGCCCUUUAAAGCUCUUUUAAGACAACAGACUCAAUCAGCGUUGGAACAGAGGGGAGGAUCGCCUCAUAGGUUCUGUAGAAGGCGGGAAUUUCCAUUUUUUACCUUGACGGCAUUUCCUCCUGGAUUCCUUGUACACGUUGGGGGUGUAGUUAGUGCACGUUCUGUGAAGCUUUUGGAUCGUAUCCACAAUCCUGAUGAACCAGAAACUCGAGAUGCAUGGUGGGCAGAAAUCAGACAAGAAAUAAAAUCACAUGCUAAAGCAUUAGGCUGUCAUGCUGUAGUGGGCUACAGUGAAUCAACUAGCAUCUGUGAAGAGGUCUGCAUUUUAUCUGCAUCUGGCACAGCGGCUGUACUGAAUCCUAGAUUUCUGCAGGAUGGCACCGUGGAAGGCUGUUUGGAACAGAGGCUUGAAGAAAAUUUGCCUACACGUUGUGGAUUUUGUCAUAUACCAUAUGAUGAACUGAAUAUGCCAUUUCCAGCUCAUCUCACAUAUUGCUAUAACUGCAGGAAACAAAAAGUUCCUGAUGUUCUGUUUACAACUAUAGACCUCCCAACAGAUGCAACAGUUAUUGGAAAAGGUUGUCUUAUUCAAGCAAGGUUAUGUCGCUUAAAAAAGAAAGCACAGGCAGAAGCAAAUGCUACAGCUAUCAGUAAUCUCUUGCCAUUUAUGGAAUAUGAAGUGCAUACUCAGCUAAUGAAUAAACUAAAACUCAAAGGAAUGAAUGCUUUGUUUGGACUAAGAAUUCAGAUCACAGUGGGUGAAAAUAUGUUGAUGGGCUUAGCGUCUGCCACAGGUGUGUAUUUAGCAGCUUUACCAACUCCUGGUGGUAUUCAGAUUGCUGGGAAGACUCCUAAUGAUGGCUCCUAUGAACAACACAUCUCUCAUAUGCAGAAGAAGAUAAAUGACACAAUUGCUAAAAACAAAGAGUUAUAUGAAAUCAAUCCUCCAGUAAGUAAAACAAACCUACAUUGUGAAUGUAUCAGUUAUUGUUUAUUAGUAUAUUUUUAGGUUAUCUUAUUGAGGACAAAAGAUUUUUUUUUCACUGUUUAGCUCUCCUUAUUACUCAUUCUUUCACCUCCCUUUAUGUCUUUGCUCAACUGUCUCCUUUUCGGGUAAGCCUACUCUAACGAUCCUAUUUAAAAAUUGUGACUUCAUUUUUGCCACUUCCUAUGACUUUUCCCUCUUUUAUUGUUUUCUAUAGCUCUUAUCUUUGUGAGUGUGUGUGUGUG
This 2445-nucleotide small RNA is filed under the name Pan troglodytes (chimpanzee). RNAcentral describes it as "retained intron". Lineage: Eukaryota; Metazoa; Chordata; Mammalia; Primates; Hominidae. The record is from RNAcentral.